Long non-coding RNA from Quercus robur (English oak), 913 nucleotides. RefSeq lists it as uncharacterized. NCBI's taxonomy places the organism in Eukaryota, Viridiplantae, Streptophyta, Magnoliopsida, Fagales, Fagaceae. The transcript is spliced from 2 exons. The record is from RefSeq and is a predicted model, not a curated record.
AAAGGUGCUCUAAAAUCAAUGAGGGCCACUUUCGAUGAAUCUCAUAUUGUGAAGUGUGAACAACUCAAAAAUUCAAAGGACUCAAGAGAGAAAGUGAACAAAAUGAACAACAACAAAAGGAAAAAAGCCAAAAAUUCCCUUGUUUAUAUUUGUCUAGACUAUAGAAUGAUCGUACAAACUACAAAGUAAUGAAGUGGUUGGUAGGUCCCAUCCUCCCCACUUGACUUAAAAGUUAAAAGACUUGGGGAAACUUCCACCAAGUACCUCCCCCCAAUAGAGUCGUAAAGAAGUUGGAAACGUGUGACACGGCCAAUUAUGUCUUUCUUUGUCUUCUAGAGAUAAUAAUAUCUGUAAUAUGCUCCAAUUAUUAAAGCAUAAAAUAGCCACCCUUCUAGAUUAUUCAUUAUCACCGCUUUUCCACACUAAAGUAAUCCAUAUAUAUGUUAUCUUCUUUAACUAAUAUAGAACAGAGGCCUGGGUUUUUUCAAACACAUUGCCAGCCUCUGUCUUGUCCUCUGGGCAAUGAAAUAUAUGGCAUCUGAGGUUUAGUUCUACUCAAAUCAAUAAAAAUAUGGGUUUACCUAAGCCACUGCUUCUUCUGCUGUUGCUUACAACAAUUGUUUCUACAUCACAGAAACCAAUAGUUACAGAAGCAAGGCCACUUUCCCAACAAAGAUUUUCAGAGAUUUUCUCGACACUUGGAGUUGCUUGCAAGUGUUGUGAUGGCGAAAAAGGUGAAUGCACGAGUACAUGGACAGGGUCUUGCUCUAAGCUCCAAUGCCUUCCCUGGAAAUUAAACUAGCUUGUUUUACACUGUAAUUUUUGUUUUUUGUGGACGUUGUUGUACAUAGUUCAGUGUUCUGUUUACCAACUAUAUCUAUAUGAUAUGCGUUAAUCGAAUUGGGUUAUUUUA